UGAAAACAUUUGCUACUUCUCUUUAAGGAAGGAUGCAUAUUUUCCAUAUUUAAUGUAUCCUUCAAGCUCCCAUUCAGAUUAAACAAGAUUCUCCCUAUCAUCUUUAGUUUAUAGAAUGUUGAAUGGGACAGCAUAGCCUGCAGUGAGAAAGUUUCAGCCAAUGUGGAGUAUGGUAUUAAAAUUCCCUCAUUAUUUCUGUGGACUAUAUAUAUCAGUAUUCUCAAUUGUUAUUUUUUUCAGAAAUACUUGUUAUAAUUAUUCACCCCAUAUAACUUUAUUGGAAAAUAUAAACAACCAUAUGUGAGAUAUUAUAUAAGUUUUGUAAUCAUUCACCAUUAACUCUGGGAUCAGACUUCCUAGAAUUUGAAGAAGAAAUUAAUGAAAUCAAACGUAACUUAAUAGUAGUAGUAAUAGAAAUUUUAAAAUCCUCUUAAAGUUUCUGCAAAGUGUGAUCCCUGCCCCCUUACACUCAAGUUAAAGGAGAAUGUUAACAGCCUGUCCUGUCUCUGUGGACAGUGGACCUUAUCUAUACUCCCCAACUCCAAAUUACUCAAGUUUAUUACAGGCCAGCAAGCUCCUGCACAGCUGCAGUCACAAGACCAAUAAGUUUAGGUUGCAAGACAUGUUUUUCUCAAGAUGUAAGAAAUGUUGUAAUGCUUGAUUAACUGCCUUUGUUUCUCGCUUCUGUAACUUGCUUCCCACCUCAUGUAGUUCCUGCCUUAAAAUGUUUAAAAGUAGGAAAAGCCCUUAGUUUGGGGCUCAUACUUUCUGGACAUAUGUCCGGCUGGGCCGGUGAUCACCUUAAUAGACUCUCCUGAACCUUUUUCAGUCUCUCCAGUCUUUGAUUGUCUUGUAACAUUUCUGGGGGCUCAUCCGGGAUUGGAGAGGGAACAUUUUCUGUCUCCUUUGCCUGUGGGCUACAGCCCCAGGACAUGGGAGAUCUGGGGUCCUUGGCACCACCAGGAGAGUUUCAGCCCAGAAGGAGAACUGCCCUCCCGCGUUCUGGGGCCUUCCCCCGACAGCACAAAUGGAACCAGUGGAAGGGGUUGCAGGAUGGUCACGGGAGCAGCGCACAGCCAUCUGAACCACGGCCUCCCAAAAUCAAAUUUCAUCUUCAAAAUAGCCUUUUCUGAC
Molecule: long non-coding RNA, 1134 nt
Filed under: Homo sapiens (human)
Lineage: Eukaryota; Metazoa; Chordata; Mammalia; Primates; Hominidae
Description: HSALNT0076513
Source: RNAcentral